This 812-nucleotide ribosomal RNA is filed under the name Nocardia sp. RNAcentral describes it as "bacterial SSU rRNA". It matches the Rfam family "Bacterial small subunit ribosomal RNA", at positions 57 to 884 of the family's 1533-position model. The record is from RNAcentral. Lineage: Bacteria; Bacillati; Actinomycetota; Actinomycetes; Mycobacteriales; Nocardiaceae.
GCAGUCGAGCGGUAGGCCCUUCGGGGUACACGAGCGGCGAACGGGUGAGUAACACGUGGGUGAUCUGCCUUGCACUUCGGGAUAAGCCUGGGAAACUGGGUCUAAUACCGGAUAUGACCACGGAAUGCAUGUUCUGUGGUGGAAAGAUUUAUCGGUGCGAGAUGGGCCCGCGGCCUAUCAGCUUGUUGGUGAGGUAACGGCUCACCAAGGCGACGACGGGUAGCCGACCUGAGAGGGUGACCGGCCACACUGGGACUGAGACACGGCCCAGACUCCUACGGGAGGCAGCAGUGGGGAAUAUUGCACAAUGGGCGCAAGCCUGAUGCAGCGACGCCGCGUGCGGGAUGACGGCCUUCGGGUUGUAAACCGCUUUUGACAGGGACGAAGCGAAAGUGACUGUACCUGUAGAAUAAGGACCGGCCAACUACGUGCCAGCAGCCGCGGUAAUACGUAGGGUCCGAGCGUUGUCCGGAAUUACUGGGCGUAAAGAGCUUGUAGGCGGUUCGUCGCGUCGUUUGUGAAAACUUGGGGCUCAACCUUAAGCUUGCAGGCGAUACGGGCGGACUAGAGUACUUCANGGGAGACUGGAAUUCCUGGUGUAGCGGUGAAAUGCGCAGAUAUCANGAGGAACACCGGUGGCGAANGCGGGUCUCUGGGAAGUAACUGACGCUGAGAAGCGAAAGCAUGGGUAGCAAACAGGAUUAGAUACCCUGGUAGUCCAUGCCGUAAACGGUGGGUACUANGUGUGGGGCUCCUUCCACGGACUCCGUGCCGUANCUAACGCAUUAAGUACCCCCGCCUGGGGGAGUACG